UACGUAGGGUGCAAGCGUUGUCCGGAAUUAUUGGGCGUAAAGAGUUCGUAGGCGGUUUGUCGCGUCGUUCGUGAAAACUUGGGGCUUAACUCCAAGCGUGCGGGCGAUACGGGCAGACUUGAGUACUACAGGGGAGACUGGAAUUCCUGGUGUAGCGGUGAAAUGCGCAGAUAUCUGGAGGAAUACCGGUGGCGAAGGCGGCAUCCUGGACCGAGAUUGACGCUGAACGGCGAAAGCUAGGGGAGCAAACGGG
This 253-nucleotide ribosomal RNA is filed under the name uncultured bacterium. RNAcentral's name for it is "partial 16S ribosomal RNA". It matches the Rfam family "Bacterial small subunit ribosomal RNA", at positions 524 to 776 of the family's 1533-position model. The record is from RNAcentral.